This 27-nucleotide small RNA is filed under the name Bombyx mori (domestic silkworm). RNAcentral's name for it is "ovarian small RNA-5841". The record is from RNAcentral. Lineage: Eukaryota; Metazoa; Arthropoda; Insecta; Lepidoptera; Bombycidae.
UAAUGACCUAUGUCAAAUGUCAGAGGC